CACCGAGUCCGAGGUUCCGGGGCUCACCGGAACCUGGUGCAAAAGGGA
This is a non-coding RNA of Streptomyces sviceus ATCC 29083, 48 nucleotides long. The record is from Rfam. NCBI's taxonomy places the organism in Bacteria, Bacillati, Actinomycetota, Actinomycetes, Kitasatosporales, Streptomycetaceae.